AUUAUGGGCAAAAAUCUAAAGCAGGAAUUCUACGAAAACCUUGACAGACACAGUUCACGGUUCAUGGACCUUUUUAAAACCAAAAGGGGGGCUCCUGGUCAGCGCUUGUUGAACUUUUACAGCAAAUAAAGUCAGCCCAGCCAACAGAGGUCCGAACCCUUGUUCUUCGAGGACUGCCUAUCAUGCUCGGAGAUGAUGACUCGUCUUUCUUCAAGACAUGUUUAGUGUCUGAUCAUCGCAACACUAUCCUUGAUGUGCCAGUGGGGAUUUUAUUGGAGGACACCGAUCUUCAGCCCUCCAGCUCUUUGCAUUUGACUUCUUCAAUCGGAAUAAUUCUUGAAGGCCAAGUCGUGAUGGACAAAG
Molecule: long non-coding RNA, 363 nt
Organism: Labeo rohita (rohu)
Lineage: Eukaryota; Metazoa; Chordata; Actinopteri; Cypriniformes; Cyprinidae
Exons: 3
Source: RefSeq, a predicted model, not a curated record